GACGAACGCUGGCGGCGUGCUUAACACAUGCAAGUCGAACGGAAAGGCCCUGCUUUUGUGGGGUGCUCGAGUGGCGAACGGGUGAGUAACACGUGAGUAACCUGCCCUUGACUUUGGGAUAACUUCAGGAAACUGGGGCUAAUACCGGAUAGGAGCUCCUGCUGCAUUGUGGGGGUUGGAAAGUUUCGGCGGUUGGGGAUGGACUCGCGGCUUAUCAGCUUGUUGGUGGGGUAGUGGCUUACCAAGGCUUUGACGGGUAGCCGGCCUGAGAGGGUGACCGGCCACAUUGGGCCUGAGAUACGGCCCAGACUCCUACGGGAGGCAGCAGUGGGGAAUAUUGCACAAUGGGCGGAAGCCUGAUGCAGCAACGCCGCGUGCGGGAUGACGGCCUUCGGGUUGUAAACCGCUUUCGCCUGUGACGAAGCGUGAGUGACGGUAAUGGGUAAAGAAGCACCGGCUAACUACGUG
This 468-nucleotide ribosomal RNA is filed under the name uncultured bacterium. Its description in RNAcentral is "partial 16S ribosomal RNA". It matches the Rfam family "Bacterial small subunit ribosomal RNA", at positions 28 to 507 of the family's 1533-position model. The record is from RNAcentral.